This 506-nucleotide ribosomal RNA is filed under the name uncultured bacterium. Its description in RNAcentral is "partial 16S ribosomal RNA". It matches the Rfam family "Bacterial small subunit ribosomal RNA", at positions 29 to 523 of the family's 1533-position model. The record is from RNAcentral.
AGUGAACGCUGGCGGUAGGCCUAACACAUGCAAGUCGAACGGCAGCACAGAGGAGCUUGCUCCUUGGGUGGCGAGUGGCGGACGGGUGAGGAAUACAUCGGAAUCUACUCUGUCGUGGGGGAUAACGUAGGGAAACUUACGCUAAUACCGCAUACGACCUACGGGUGAAAGCAGGGGAUCUUCGGACCUUGCGCGAUUGAAUGAGCCGAUGUCGGAUUAGCUAGUUGGCGGGGUAAAGGCCCACCAAGGCGACGAUCCGUAGCUGGUCUGGGAGGAUGAUCAGCCACACUGGAACUGAGACACGGUCCAGACUCCUACGGGAGGCAGCAGUGGGGAAUAUUGGACAAUGGGCGCAAGCCUGAUCCAGCCAUACCGCGUGGGUGAAGAAGGCCUUCGGGUUGUAAAGCCCUUUUGUUGGGAAAGAAAUCCAGCUGGUUAAUACCCGGUCGGGAUGACGGUACCCAAAGAAUAAGCACCGGCUAACUUCGUGCCAGCCGCCGCAGUAA